UAGUAUCAGAUAUUAUUAACUUCUCUAGAACACGUGUAUCAGAAAUUUGUUCCCCUCUUUCUCGAAACUAAAUCCCUAACCCUCCGAAUCAUCUCCUCUGCUUUCUCGAACCAAGCAACAAAGAACCCCGAUGUUGAGGGCCAACGAAUUGCCUGAAGACUUGGUGAUACAGAUUCUGCUAUGGCUUCCGGUUGUCUCUCUCUUGCGAUUCAAGUCCGUCUGCAAAUCCUGGUACGCUCUCAUCACAAACCAAAACUUCAUAGCAAAACACCUCCUAUACAACAAGAACUGCAACACUCAGCUUCUCUUUAAAACGCGCGACAAAAGCAACGAAGAUUAUGUUGUAUCCACGAUUUCUCAUGAAACACUCCAAGUGUCCCUUACACAACCUCUACCUCCAUACUUUGAGCUCGACGUCGACGAGAAGUUUUUUAUUUUUGUGGUGGGUUCUUGCAAUGGUCUCGUUUGUCUCCACGAUUACCUUGCAUUGCAUGAAGUUAUAUGGAAUCCUGCAACUAAAGAAACAAAGAUUGUCCCUAAAUCAAACCUGCCCCGCAUUGUCCCCGCUGGGUGUUACACCAGAACUGAAGGUAUAGGAUUUGGUUUUGAUGCGAAAACUAAUGACUAUAAGAUAAUCAACUUUCUUAAUAUCUAUAAUCCCCGCCUUUCCUAUUAUCCAUCUAAAAAUGGAGUCAUAUUCCAAAUAGAGGUAUACAGCUUAAGAGCCGAUUCUUGGAGAAAAGUUGAUGGACCCCCUUGUUUUUUUUCUAAUCGUGAAAUAAUUCCAGGGACAUACAUCAAUGGGAUGGCUUCUUGGGCGGCAUAUAGUAAUGAUUGGGAGGAGUCAUUUCUUUUGUCAUUUGACAUGAGCAAUGAGCAUAUUACUCUCGAAGAGGUGUUUUGGUACUUAGGUCUGGUUGAUGGGACCAGUGGACAUAAUUGUCAAAAUUGAGCUCUUUGAAUAGAGGUCCGGGGACAUACAUCAAUGGGAUGGCUUCUUCGCCGGCAUAUGUUAAUCAUUGGGAGUCAUUUGUUUUGUCAUUUGACAUGACUGAUGAGAAGAGAAAAUAAAAUACAGAAAACAAGGCUGCUCUAAAGCAUUGGAGCAUUCAGCAUUUUUGCAAUAUCCAUUUCAAGAUCAACGCUAUUCUGGUUGAGUUAGACAGAGUCCCAACAAUCAAGCCCCAUGAAUAGCGUUUUCGAACCCAUAUUAACCCAACAGAUUCUUAAUAUUCACAAGCCACUUACACUAUUUAGUCACAUUUUACUGUUACUGCAGCAAUUUUAAGUGACUAUGAGGGAGACAUGAGCAUCAUUGCAGCUUCAUCCAAAAACUCCCCCCAAUCGAACUUCAGUUGAGGAGGAGGCUCAAGCAGUUCUUGUAGCUGUUCAUCUGGCAAUUUCAAUGGAUGCUCCUAUCUCUUUUUUUUUUUUUAUUAUUAUUAUUAUUAUUUUUUAUUUUUUUAUAUAUGAAUAUGCUCCUCCCUCAUCUUUGAAGAUGACUAUCUUUUGGCCAUAGGUAAAGGUCAUCUCCGUACUGAUUAGCUAUGCGCCCUCGUCAUCUCCGACAUCCAUUAGCAAUUGCUCGUCUUUGAGAAGUGGAUAAGAAUUGCCUUGAAGUUUUCUAGA
RNA transcript from Alnus glutinosa, 1629 nucleotides. It is a transcript of the gene named putative F-box protein At3g21120, with no coding region annotated. NCBI's taxonomy places the organism in Eukaryota, Viridiplantae, Streptophyta, Magnoliopsida, Fagales, Betulaceae. The transcript is spliced from 4 exons. The record is from RefSeq and is a predicted model, not a curated record.